Molecule: ribosomal RNA, 496 nt
Filed under: uncultured bacterium
Lineage: Bacteria
Description: partial 16S ribosomal RNA
Rfam family: Bacterial small subunit ribosomal RNA
Source: RNAcentral
AUGAACGCUGGCGGCGUGCCUAAUACAUGCAAGUCGAGCGAACGGACGAGAAGCUUGCUUCUCUGAUGUUAGCGGCGGACGGGUGAGUAACACGUGGAUAACCUACCUAUAAGACUGGGAUAACUUCGGGAAACCGGAGCUAAUACCGGAUGAUAUUUUGAACCGCAUGGUUCAAAAAUGAAAGACGGUCUUGCUGUCACUUAUAGAUGGAUCCGCGCUGCAUUAGCUAGUUGGUAAGGUAACGGCUUACCAAGGCAACGAUGCAUAGCCGACCUGAGAGGGUGAUCGGCCACACUGGAACUGAGACACGGUCCAGACUCCUACGGGAGGCAGCAGUAGGGAAUCUUCCGCAAUGGGCGAAAGCCUGACGGAGCAACGCCGCGUGAGUGAUGAAGGUCUUCGGAUCGUAAAACUCUGUUAUUAGGGAAGAACAUAUGUGUAAGUAACUGUGCACAUCUUGACGGUACCUAAUCAGAAAGCCACGGCUAACUACGUG